GAUGAACGCUAGCUACAGGCUUAACACAUGCAAGUCGAGGGGCAGCGCAGUGUAGCAAUACAUGGGCGGCGACCGGCGCACGGGUGCGUAACGCGUAUCCAACCUUCCCGUUACUUAGGGAUAGCCUUCCGAAAGGGAGAUUAAUACCUGAUGGUGUUUGAAUUUCGCAUGUUAUUCAAACUAAAGAUUUAUCGGUAACGGAUGGGGAUGCGUGACAUUAGAUAGUAGGCGGGGUAACGGCCCACCUAAUCUACGAUGUCUAGGGGUUCUGAGAGGAAGGUCCCCCACACUGGAACUGAGACACGGUCCAGACUCCUACGGGAGGCAGCAGUGAGGAAUAUUGGUCAAUGGUCGGAAGACUGAACCAGCCAAGUAGCGUGAAGGAUGAAGGUUCUAUGGAUUGUAAACUUCUUUUGUAUGAGGUAAAUUAGAUACGUGUAUCUAACUGCAAGUAUCAUACGAAUAAGG
RNAcentral lists this ribosomal RNA (468 nucleotides) under uncultured bacterium. RNAcentral describes it as "bacterial SSU rRNA". It matches the Rfam family "Bacterial small subunit ribosomal RNA", at positions 28 to 491 of the family's 1533-position model. The record is from RNAcentral.